Molecule: ribosomal RNA, 456 nt
Filed under: uncultured soil bacterium
Lineage: Bacteria
Description: bacterial SSU rRNA
Rfam family: Bacterial small subunit ribosomal RNA
Source: RNAcentral
AGAUUGAACGCUGGCGGCAUGCCUUACACAUGCAAGUCGAACGGCAGCACGGGGGCAACCCUGGUGGCGAGUGGCGAACGGGUGAGUAAUGCAUCGGAACGUGCCCAGUAGUGGGGGAUAACUAGUCGAAAGAUUAGCUAAUACCGCAUACGACCUAUGGGUGAAAGCGGGGGAUUCGCAAGAACCUCGCGCUAUCGGAGCGGCCGAUGUCUGAUUAGCUAGGUUGGGACGGGGGUAAAACGCCCACCAAGGCUUCGAUCAGUAGCUGGUCUGAGAGGACGACCAGCCACACUGGGACCUGAGACACGGCCCAGACCUCCGUACGGGAGGCAGCAGGUGGGGUAAUUUUGGACGAAUGGGCGCAAGCCGUGACUCCAGCCAUCGCCGCGUAGGCGGGAAGAAGGCCGUUUGGUACGUAACCGUCGUUUUCGGCGUAAGGAACGAAACGGCGGACCG